GCUCUUUUCAUCACCGUCAGGAACACCUAUAUGAGACGUGUCGGGUUUCGGCUCGACUAUGGCAAUAAACGGUCGAUGAAAUAAACCUAUUGGACCCGGGGGCGGUACCCGGCGCCUCCACCAAAAACCGGUCGGCAGACAGGAUGCUGGACCGGCUUUUGAUGGGGGCGAAAUAGGAUCGACAAGGGUGUAAAGAUCGAACUUUUGCCCGGCAUGAUACCGCCGUUAUCGGGUCACAAGUGUAGUUGCAAACGACAACAACGCUAAGGGUUACGCUCUCGCUGCCUAAUGGCGGUGCGGGAAACCCGACCUAAGUCCUCCAGGUUAGCCCCUUGAGGCGGGGUCCGAAGGCACCUGGCAACAGAAGCCUUCACC
This 375-nucleotide transfer-messenger RNA is filed under the name Peteryoungia desertarenae. It matches the Rfam family "Alphaproteobacteria transfer-messenger RNA". Rfam says of the family: Bacterial tmRNA, also known as 10Sa RNA or SsrA, is named for its dual tRNA and mRNA-like properties. Its role is to liberate the mRNA from a stalled ribosome. To accomplish this part of the tmRNA is used as a reading frame that ends in a translation stop signal. The record is from RNAcentral. Lineage: Bacteria; Pseudomonadati; Pseudomonadota; Alphaproteobacteria; Hyphomicrobiales; Rhizobiaceae.